Molecule: ribosomal RNA, 615 nt
Filed under: bacterium
Lineage: Bacteria
Description: partial 16S ribosomal RNA
Rfam family: Bacterial small subunit ribosomal RNA
Source: RNAcentral
UAACMCGGGGGCAACCGGCCCKGCAAAUGGGGAUACCUCCGGGAAACCGGGGCUAAUACCGAAUAACUUUGGAAACCUCUGGGUUUCCUUUUAAACGGCGGYUUCGGUUGUCMCUGCAGGAKGGGCCCGCGGCGCAUUACCUAKUUGGGGAGGUAACGGCUCACCAAGGCAACAAUGCKUACCCAACCUGGGAGGGKGAUCGGCCMCCCKGGGACUGAAACMCGGCCCAAACUCCUACGGGAGGCACCAUUAGGGAAUCUUCCSCAWGGGACAAAAGUCUGACGGACCACCCCCCCGGGAGUGAAAAAGGUUUUCGRAUCGUAAAAYUCUGUUGUCAGGRAAAAACAAUUACGGRAGUAACUGACCGURCCUUGACGGUMCCKGGCCAAAAAGCCCCGGUUAACUACUUGCCACCACCCGCGGUAAUACUUAGGKGGCAAGCGUUGUCCGGAAUUAUKGGGCGUAAAGCGCGCGCAGGCGGCCUUUUAAUUCARAUGUGAAASCCCCCGGYUCACCCGGGAAGGGUCWUUGAAAACUGGAAGGUUUGAUUGCAAAAAAAAAAASCGAAUUUCCCCKUGUACCGGUGAAWUGCKUAAAGAUGUGAAGAAACACCAU